GGGUCAAAAUUUAAGUCAUAUGAAUAAAAUCUCAAAAGGUCUAGGUAUGUAACAGUCAGAUAUUAGGCUGCUACAAGAGGCAGGGAAGAGGAGCAAGAUGCAGUGGGAUUUAUGAACACCAGUUCCCAGAGGAUCUUAAAUUAGACAUGCAAAAUAAUGCAAUUUAAUAUGGAACAUGCUUUCUCUCUGUUUUGGAGACAAGUUCAUCUGUCCAAGAGAGCUUUCUAGGCUUAAUUGGUCACAGUUUCUGUGCUUUUGAGAGGUGGAAAAUUCCAUUAUAUAUAGAUUGAAUGACAUGCCUAUUGUGGUCAGUGGAUGCAAGACUAUGGACAAUUUUCACAGUCCCUUUCAUAUUACAGACAGACCAGUCAAAUGUUGAGUGAGGGGUCACAGGUUAGAUUUCUCAAGGAAGUCAAAAGUUUGACAUUAUUGUGCUUGUUCCUUGUGAACUCCUGCCAAGACUGAAAGUACUGGAAAGUUCUGCCACCUCCAGAG
Pezoporus flaviventris is the source of this 495-nucleotide long non-coding RNA. RefSeq lists it as uncharacterized. NCBI's taxonomy places the organism in Eukaryota, Metazoa, Chordata, Aves, Psittaciformes, Psittacidae. The record is from RefSeq and is a predicted model, not a curated record. The transcript has 4 exons.